UGAACGCUGGCGGCAGGCCUCCCACAUGCAAGUCGAACGGUAACAGGCAGCAGCUUGCUGCUUUGCUGACGAGUGGCGGACGGGUGAGUAAUGUCUGGGAAACUGCCCGAUGGAGGGGGAUAACUACUGGAAACGGUAGCUAAUACCGCAUAACGUCGCAAGACCAAAGAGGGGGACCUUAGGGCCUCUUGCCAUCGGAUGUGCCCAGAUGGGAUUAGCUAGUAGGUGGGGUAACGGCUCACCUAGGCGACGAUCCCUAGCUGGUCUGAGAGGAUGACCAGCCACACUGGAACUGAGACACGGUCCAGACUCCUACGGGAGGCAGCAGUGGGGAAUAUUGCACAAUGGGCGCAAGCCUGAUGCAGCCAUGCCGCGUGUAUGAAGAAGGCCUUCGGGUUGUAAAGUACUUUCAGCGGGGAGGAAGGGAGUAAAGUUAAUACCUUUGCUCAUUGACGUUACCCGCAGAAGAAGCACCGGCUAACUCCGUG
This 488-nucleotide ribosomal RNA is filed under the name uncultured bacterium. RNAcentral describes it as "partial 16S ribosomal RNA". It matches the Rfam family "Bacterial small subunit ribosomal RNA", at positions 30 to 507 of the family's 1533-position model. The record is from RNAcentral.